CCUACGGGGGGCUGCAGUCGAGAAUCAUUCACAAUGGGGGAAACCCUGAUGGUGCGACGCCGCGUGGGGGAAUGAAGGUCUUCGGAUUGUAAACCCCUGUCAUGUGGGAGCAAAUUAAAAAGAUAGUACCACAAGAGGAAGAGACGGCUAACUCUGUGCCAGCAGCCGCGGUAAUACAGAGGUCUCAAGCGUUGUUCGGAAUCACUGGGCGUAAAGCGUGCGUAGGCUGUUUCGUAAGUCGUGUGUGAAAGGCGCGGGCUCAACCCGCGGACGGCACAUGAUACUGCGAGACUAGAGUAAUGGAGGGGGAACCGGAAUUCUCGGUGUAGCAGUGAAAUGCGUAGAUAUCGAGAGGAACACUCGUGGCGAAGGCGGGUUCCUGGACAUUAACUGACGCUGAGGCACGAAGGCCAGGGGAGCGAGAGGGAUUAGAUACCCUGGUAGUC
RNAcentral lists this ribosomal RNA (446 nucleotides) under uncultured bacterium. RNAcentral describes it as "partial 16S ribosomal RNA". It matches the Rfam family "Bacterial small subunit ribosomal RNA", at positions 338 to 795 of the family's 1533-position model. The record is from RNAcentral.